RNAcentral lists this ribosomal RNA (467 nucleotides) under uncultured bacterium. Its description in RNAcentral is "partial 16S ribosomal RNA". It matches the Rfam family "Bacterial small subunit ribosomal RNA", at positions 28 to 507 of the family's 1533-position model. The record is from RNAcentral.
GACGAACGCUGGCGGCGUGCUUAACACAUGCAAGUCGAACGGAAAGGCCUCUUUCGGGGGGUACUCGAGUGGCGAACGGGUGAGUAACACGUGAGUAACCUGCCCUUGACUUUGGGAUAACUUCAGGAAACUGGGGCUAAUACCGGAUAGGAGCUCCUGCUGCAUGGUGGGGGUUGGAAAGUUUCGGCGGUUGGGGAUGGACUCGCGGCUUAUCAGCUUGUCGGUGGGGUAGUGGCUUACCAAGGCUUUGACGGGUAGCCGGCCUGAGAUGGUGACCGGCCACAUUGGGACUGAGAUACGGCCCAGACUCCUACGGGAGGCAGCAGUGGGGAAUAUUGCACAAUGGGUGGAAGCCGGAUGCAGCAACGCCGUGUGCGGGAGGACGGCCUUCGGGUUGUAAACCGCUUUCGCUCAUGACGAAGCUUUGUGUGACGGUAGUGGGUAAAGAAGCACCGGCUAACUACGUG